GGAACUGGGGCUAAUUCUCGAUAGGUGAAGAACACUGGAAUGUGUCUUUGCCUAAAGGCCGUCGGAUCAUGCUUUCGGCGGUGCCUAAGGAUGGGGCCGCGACCGAUCAGGUUGUUGGUGAGGUAAUGGCCCACCAAGCCUAUAACCGGUGCGGGCCGUGAGAGCGGGAGCCCGGAGAUGGGCACUGAGACAAGGGCCCAGGUCCUACGGGGCGCAGCAGUCGCGAAACCUUUGCAAUACACGCAAGUGUGACAGGGUCAUCCCGAGUGCCGACCGCUGAGGUUGGCUUUUACCCAGUCUAGAACGCUGGGGGAAUAAGGAGAGGGCAAGUCUGGUGUCAGCCGCCGCGGUAAUACCAGCUCUCCGAGUGGUGUGGACGUUUAUUGGGCCUAAAGCAUCCGUAGCUGGCUGAACAAGUCCCCUGUUAAACCCAACGAUUUAAUCGUUGGCUUGCGGGGGAUACUGCUCGGCUAGGGGACGAGAGAGGCAGACGGUAUUCCCGGGGUAGGGGUGAAAUCCUAUAAUCCCGAGAAGACCACCAGUGGCGAAGGCUGUCUGCUAGAACGCGCCCGACGGUGAGGGAUGAAAGCUGGGGGAGCGAACCGGAUUAGAUACCCGGGUAGUCCCAGCUGUAAACGAUGCAGGCUAGGUGUUUUGGACGGCUACGUGCCGUUCUAGUGCCGCAGGGAAGCUGUUAAGCCUGCCGCCUGGGGAGUACGAUCGCAAGAUUGAAACUUAAAGGAAUUGGCGGGGGAGCACCCCAAGGGGUGAAGCUUGCGGUUUAAUUGGAGUCAACGCCGGAAAUCUCACCGGGAG
This 816-nucleotide ribosomal RNA is filed under the name uncultured archaeon. RNAcentral's name for it is "bacterial SSU rRNA". It matches the Rfam family "Archaeal small subunit ribosomal RNA", at positions 136 to 936 of the family's 1478-position model. The record is from RNAcentral.